Molecule: ribosomal RNA, 407 nt
Filed under: uncultured bacterium
Lineage: Bacteria
Description: partial 16S ribosomal RNA
Rfam family: Bacterial small subunit ribosomal RNA
Source: RNAcentral
AUUGAACGCUGGCGGCAGGCCUAACACAUGCAAGUCGAGCGGAGCGGCGGACGGGAGAGUAAUGCCUAGGAGUCUGCCUGGUAGAUGGAGAUAACGUACGGCAACGGGCGCUAAUAACGCAUACACGCCAAUGAACCUAGCUCGGAUUAGCUAGUUGGUGGGGUAGAGGCCUACCAAGGCGACGAUCCGUACCUGGUCUGAGAGGAUGCUCAGUCACACUGGAACUGAGACACGGUCCAGACUCCUACGGGAGGCAGCAGUGGGGAAGAUUGGACAAUGGGCGAAAGCCUGAUGCAGCCAUGCCGCGUGUGUGAAGAAGGUCUUCGGAUUGUAAAGCACUUUAAGUUGGGAGGCGUUACCAACAGAAUAAGCACCGGCUAACUUCGUGCCAGCAGCCGCGGUAAUUC